ACGGAGGGGACUAGCGUUGUUCGGAAUUACUGGGCGUAAAGCGCACGUAGGCGGAUUUGUAAGUCAGGGGUGAAAUCCUGGAGCUCAACUCCAGAACUGCCUUUGAUACUGAGAAGCUUGAGUUCGGGAGAGGUGAGUGGAACUGCGAGUGUAGAGGUGAAAUUCGUAGAUAUUCGCAAGAACACCAGUGGCGAAGGCGGCUCACUGGCCCGAUACUGACGCUGAGGUGCGAAAGCGUGGGGAGCAAACAGGA
This 253-nucleotide ribosomal RNA is filed under the name uncultured prokaryote. RNAcentral's name for it is "partial 16S ribosomal RNA". It matches the Rfam family "Bacterial small subunit ribosomal RNA", at positions 525 to 777 of the family's 1533-position model. The record is from RNAcentral.